CGUAGGUGGCAAGCGUUGUCCGGAUUUAUUGGGUUUAAAGGGUGCGUAGGCGGUCUAUUAAGUCAGUGCUGAAAUACUCCAGCUUAACUAGAGGGGUGGCAUUGAUACUGAUGGACUUGAGUACAGAUGAGGUAGGCGGAAUUGACGGUGUAGCGGUGAAAUGCAUAGAUAUCGUCAAGAACACCGAUAGCGAAGGCAGCUUACUGGGCUGUAACUGACGCUGAUGCACGAAAGUGUGGGGAUCAAACAGGAUUAGAUACCCUGGUAGUCCACACUGUAAACGUUGAUUACUCGCUGUUUGCGAUACACAGCAAGCGGCUUAGCGAAAGCGAUAAGUAAUCCACCUGGGGAGUACGCCGGCAACGGUG
RNAcentral lists this ribosomal RNA (368 nucleotides) under uncultured organism. RNAcentral describes it as "bacterial SSU rRNA". It matches the Rfam family "Bacterial small subunit ribosomal RNA", at positions 526 to 896 of the family's 1533-position model. The record is from RNAcentral.